AGAGUUUGAUCAUGGCUCAGGAUGAACGCUAGCGGCAGGCCUAAUACAUGCAAGACGAACGGUAAGUGGUGUAGCAAUAUAUCACCAAGAGUGUCGUAAGGGUGCGUAACACGUAUGCAAUCUGCCCACAACAGGAGGAUAGCUCCCCGAAAGGGGAAUUAAUACUCCAUAAGAUCACACGAGGGCAUCUGAGAGUGAUUAAACUACAAGGGGUUGUGGAUGAGCAUGCGGAUGAUUAGCUAGUUGGUGCGGGUAACGGCCCACCAAGGCGAUGAUCAAUAGGGGAACUGAGAGGUUUAUCCCCCACACUGGCACUGAGAUACGGGCCAGACUCCUACGGGAGGCAGCAGUAGGGAAUAUUGGACAAUGGGUGCAAGCCUGAUCCAGCCAUGCCGCGUGCAGGAAGAAGGCCUUCUGGGUCGUAAACUGCUUUUCUCUGGGGAUAAAAAGACCCUGCGGGGUAAAUUGAAGGUACCAGAGGAAUAAGCCACGGCUAACUACGUGCCAGCAGCCGCGGUAAUACGUAGGUGGCAAGCGUUGUCCGGAUUUAUUGGGUUUAAAGGGUGCGUAGGCGGUUCCAUAAGUCAGUGGUGAAAUACGGCAGCUCAACUAUCGAGGUGCCAUUGAUACUGCGGAACUUGAGUACUGAUGAGGUAGGCGGAAUUGACGGUAGCGGUGAAAUGCUUAGAUAUCGUCAAGAACACCGAUAGCGAAGGCAGCUUACCAAGCAGUAACUGACGCUGAGGCACGAAAGUGCGGGGAUCAAACAGGAUUAGAUACCCUAGUAGUCC
This 791-nucleotide ribosomal RNA is filed under the name uncultured bacterium. Its description in RNAcentral is "bacterial SSU rRNA". It matches the Rfam family "Bacterial small subunit ribosomal RNA", at positions 8 to 796 of the family's 1533-position model. The record is from RNAcentral.